GUUGAAUCUCGUAUUUUGAUGAUGAAACUACUUGAUAUAUGUUUAUGAUUUAAUCUGCGUUUUGAGUGACGCAGGAUGCUUCGAUCAGGAUGAGACAAUUAAAGCAGGAAAAUCAUGUUGUGCCGGAAGAACAUGUUAGAAGAUUGGACGUCGGGCCGGUGGAUCGGUCGACGUAUCGACAGAAGGCUUCAGGCCGUGGACUCGGGCAUCGGGCCAAGAAGAGCGGGUAUUGUGCCAAGGAUAUCGGAGUUGCAGAGUCAACUGGCCGAUUGGGCAAUAGGCUGCAGGAGAGGACGAUGCGCCGAAGAAUCGGACGAAGCGUCGAGAGACC
Molecule: long non-coding RNA, 331 nt
Filed under: Musa acuminata (dwarf banana)
Lineage: Eukaryota; Viridiplantae; Streptophyta; Magnoliopsida; Zingiberales; Musaceae
Description: long non-coding RNA (MACU_LNC008751)
Source: RNAcentral